GACGAACGCUGGCGGCGUGCCUAAUACAUGCAAGUAGAACGCUGAAGGAGGAGCUUGCUUCUCUGGAUGAGUUGCGAACGGGUGAGUAACGCGUAGGUAACCUGCCUGGUAGUGGGGGAUAACUAUUGGAAACGAUAGCUAAUACCGCAUAAUAGCAGUUGUUGCAUGAUAACUGUUUGAAAGGUGCAAUUGCACCGCUACCAGAUGGACCUGCGUUGUAUUAGCUAGUUGGUGGGGUAACGGCUCACCAAGGCGACGAUACAUAGCCGACCUGAGAGGGUGAUAGGACACACUGGGACUGAGACACGGCCCAGACUCCUACGGGAGGCAGCAGUAGGGAAUCUUCGGCAAUGGCCGGAAGUCUGACCGAGCAACGCUGCGUGAGAGAAGAAUGUUGUCGGACCGUAAAGCUCUGUUGUAAGUGAAGAACGAGUGUGAGAGUGGAAAGUUCACACUGUGACGGUAUCUGACCAGAAAGGGACGGCUAACUACGUG
This 495-nucleotide ribosomal RNA is filed under the name uncultured bacterium. Its description in RNAcentral is "partial 16S ribosomal RNA". It matches the Rfam family "Bacterial small subunit ribosomal RNA", at positions 28 to 507 of the family's 1533-position model. The record is from RNAcentral.